Molecule: unclassified non-coding RNA, 612 nt
Filed under: Hevea brasiliensis (rubber tree)
Lineage: Eukaryota; Viridiplantae; Streptophyta; Magnoliopsida; Malpighiales; Euphorbiaceae
Source: RNAcentral
CUGCCAUAUUUGAAAGCAAUCAUUUUAGAAGGGCUAAGGCGGCACCCACCAGCACAUUUUGUUGUGCCACAUGCGGUGACUGAAGAUGUAGUUUUGGAUAAAUAUUUAGUACCCAAAAAUGCAAAUAUAAAUUUCAUGGUGGCAGACAUGGGAUGGGAUCCAGAGGUUUGGGAGGAUCCCAUGGCUUUUAAGCCUGAAAGGUUUAUGGGUAGUGAUAAUAGCAGUGGAGAAGUGUUUGAUAUAACAGGGAGUAAGGAGAUUAAGAUGAUGCCAUUUGGGGUGGGAAGGAGAAUUUGCCCUGGAUAUGGAUUAGCAAUGCUUCAUUUGGAGUAUUUUGUGGCUAAUUUGAUUUGGAAAUUUGAGUGGAAGGCUAUGGAUGGAGAUGAUGUUGACUUGUCUGAGAAGCUACAGUUUACAAUGGUAAUGAAGAAUCCAUUACAGGCCCUCAUAUCUCCCAGAUUCAAAUAAAGCUUCAUCUCUAUUUUUUUAGAUUUCAGUCUGUAUCACUCGAAAAGUUCUUGGGCAGCAGGAGAUGCUGCGUCUGUUGACAACAGACAAGUUAUGUAUGUUGUAUGCGUUAACCUAAAAAAAAUAAAUUAUUGCAAUUAAAAG